AAGCUUGCUUCUAUGACGUUAGCGGCGGACGGGUGAGUAACACGUGGGCAACCUGCCUGUAAGACUGGGAUAACUUCGGGAAACCGAAGCUAAUACCGGAUAGGAUCUUCUCCUUCAUGGGAGAUGAUUGAAAGAUGGUUUCGGCUAUCACUUACAGAUGGGCCCGCGGUGCAUUAGCUAGUUGGUGAGGUAACGGCUCACCAAGGCAACGAUGCAUAGCCGACCUGAGAGGGUGAUCGGCCACACUGGGACUGAGACACGGCCCAGACUCCUACGGGAGGCAGCAGUAGGGAAUCUUCCGCAAUGGACGAAAGUCUGACGGAGCAUCGCCGCGUGAGUGAUGAAGGCUUUCGGGUCGUAAAACUCUGUUGUUAGGGAAGAACAAGUACAAGAGUAACUGCUUGUACCUUGACGGUACCUAACCAGAAAGCCACGGCUAACUACGUGCCAGCAUCCGCGGUAAUACGUAGGUGGCAAGCGUUAUCCGGAAUUAUUGCGUAAAGCGUGCGCAGGUGUUUCUUAUGUCUGAUGUGAAAGCCCACGGCUCAACCGUGGAGGGUCUUUGGAAACUG
RNAcentral lists this ribosomal RNA (572 nucleotides) under Bacillus sp. 20NS1. RNAcentral describes it as "bacterial SSU rRNA". It matches the Rfam family "Bacterial small subunit ribosomal RNA", at positions 76 to 635 of the family's 1533-position model. The record is from RNAcentral. Lineage: Bacteria; Bacillati; Bacillota; Bacilli; Caryophanales; Bacillaceae.